GUCUGUUUGGAGAUAUAAAAAGUCUGGCCUGCCCACUGAUGUUUUAAAGGGCCGCGGUAAUUUGACCGUGCAAAGGUAGCAUAAUCGUUAGUUUUUUAAUUGGAAUCUUGUAUGAAUGGUCGAACAAAAGAAUAACUGUCUCUAUAUUUAUUUUGAAUUUAACUUUUAAGUGAAAAGGCUUAAAUGUUUUAGAAAGACGAUAAGACCCUAUAAAGCUUAAUGAGUUUUAUUAUUUAACUAAAUUAAUGUGCUAUAAAGGUUUAGUAAGAGUAGCUUAUUUUAUUGGGGCGAUAAUGAUAAAAUGAUUUUAACUGUUAAUAAAGUAAAGCAAAGUUCGGUGUUUAAAUAUGUGUAAAUGAUCCUUAAAUUAGGAUUAAAAGUUUAAGUUACUUUAGGGAUAACAGCGUUAUUUUUCUUGAGAGUUCAUAUCGAAAGAAAAGUUUGCGACCUCGAUGUUGAAUUAAAAUUUCUAUAUAAUUGCAGGAGUUAUAUUAGAGGGUCUGUUCGACCUUUAAAUUUUUACAUGAUUUGAGUUCAGACCGGCGUGAG
This 549-nucleotide ribosomal RNA is filed under the name Tubuca demani. RNAcentral describes it as "partial 16S rRNA". It matches the Rfam family "Bacterial large subunit ribosomal RNA", at positions 1829 to 2625 of the family's 2925-position model. The record is from RNAcentral. Lineage: Eukaryota; Metazoa; Arthropoda; Malacostraca; Decapoda; Ocypodidae.